CCAAUGUUCAGGUUGGGCAUGAGUUGGGUGGGUUAACCCAACCAAAUCCCACCCCUAGUAAUCAAGUCAACAACGUUUCUCUAUGGAUUGUUCUUCAUAAAGUUGGAUUACAUGGGCUAAUUCAUCGCAACAGCUUAAAGGAGGAAGAGCUUUAAUAACAAUUAACAAACAAGAAAGAAAGAAAAACAAAAUCUUUUCCAGUAAGAUCAGCUCAUAGUGUGAUUAAUGGUUACUGAUCAUCUAUAUGAUGGAGAUCGCGUGGCUGUUGGGGAUCGUUCUCAGCUUGUUGUCCUAAGGCGGCGAAGAGGUCGUGCACUUGUCUAACACAUACACUAAGGAAAAUAAAUUCAUUAACCAACCCACCUACAACGGAUGAUGGUGAUGUUGACGCCGAUAUUGAUGAUAAGACAUCAUUCUUCACCGCAACUUGUUCAGUAUGAAUCGGUCGAGUUUCAGAUCUUAUAGCUGCUGUUAAUAUCAAAACUAAGAAUAACAAGGUACACUUGAUCACUCUAGUAGCUGCCAUAAUUAAUCAACUAGUAACUCUGUAGCUAACAAAUUAGAAGUAUCAACUCUUUCUCUUUCGAAAAACUUGUUGUGAGUUAUGGUUUGGAUGAUCGAACUCUAUCUAUAUAUAGCCAUUUACAAAACAUUAUUUUAUUAACUUUUCUUUUUCUGUUAAAAAAUUUCAUAUUAAAUUGCUCUGUUAGCAUCCAUAUUAUAAGAAAUUAUACUAUAAGAAAUUAUUAGUAGUAUAAGUCUAUAUAAGUGGAUUAUUUACUCAAAAUUUGAGAAUAUAUGUGAGAGGGAUGUUCCACUUCGAAACUCUAAUCGCACAGGGGGAUGUUUGUUCGUAUUUUAAGAAUAUAUUGCACUUGGUCAUGUUCGGAAGGUUAGGAGUUGAUGAAAUUUGCUUUCAACAACAAAAUCAGCACCAAGGACCAAAUUAUCAUUCAAGUCAAGCUUCAGGCAUACAUCUGGUGCAGCAAUGUGGAAGCUCUGAGAGGUGUUAACCCGGGUCAUGUUAUCUGUAUCCGCAAUUUGGCAUAGCAUGAUGUAAUUGGUUUCGUUUUUCUCUUUACUUCUCUGUGAGGAUGCACUAAUCAGCUUAUUCGUCGUCGUUGUUCCUUUUCCUACCUUUGGUAGGCUAUCAAUUAAUAUAUUUGCCGAUCGAAA
This is a long non-coding RNA of Papaver somniferum (opium poppy), 1176 nucleotides long. RefSeq lists it as uncharacterized. The transcript is spliced from 2 exons. NCBI's taxonomy places the organism in Eukaryota, Viridiplantae, Streptophyta, Magnoliopsida, Ranunculales, Papaveraceae. The record is from RefSeq and is a predicted model, not a curated record.